UACGUAGGGGGCAAGCGUUGUCCGGAUUCAUUGGGCGUAAAGAGCGUGUAGGCGGCCAGGUAGGUCGGUUGUGAAAACUGGAGGCUCAACCUUCAGAGGUCGACCGAAACCAUCUGGCUAGAGUCCGGGAGAGGAGAGUGGAAUUCCUGGUGUAGCGGUGAAAUGCGCAGAUAUCAGGAAGAACACCCGUGGCGAAAGCGGCUCUCUGGAACGGUACUGACGCUGAGGAGCGAAAGCGUGGGGAGCAAACAGG
Molecule: ribosomal RNA, 253 nt
Filed under: uncultured bacterium
Lineage: Bacteria
Description: partial 16S ribosomal RNA
Rfam family: Bacterial small subunit ribosomal RNA
Source: RNAcentral